RNAcentral lists this small RNA (116 nucleotides) under Pantoea sp. OXWO6B1. RNAcentral's name for it is "RtT sRNA". It matches the Rfam family "RtT RNA". Rfam says of the family: This family represents a bacterial cis-regulatory element known as RtT RNA. The exact function of RtT is unknown although it is thought that it may be involved in changing the cellular response in relation to amino acid starvation. The record is from RNAcentral. Lineage: Bacteria; Pseudomonadati; Pseudomonadota; Gammaproteobacteria; Enterobacterales; Erwiniaceae.
UUUUCGCCUGUGUAAAAUGAGGAUGAGAACCUCCAAAGGAGGUUUGCGCCGAGCGAAGCGAGACAACGUUGCGAAGGCAACGGCCCGAAGGGCGCGUAAUCCUCUCUCGCCGACCA